This 479-nucleotide ribosomal RNA is filed under the name uncultured bacterium. RNAcentral's name for it is "partial 16S ribosomal RNA". It matches the Rfam family "Bacterial small subunit ribosomal RNA", at positions 28 to 507 of the family's 1533-position model. The record is from RNAcentral.
GAUGAACGCUGGCGGCGUGCUUAACACAUGCAAGUCGAGCGAAGCACUUUGGAAAGAUUCUUCGGAUGAUUUCCUUUGUGACUGAGCGGCGGACGGGUGAGUAACGCGUGGGUAACCUGCCUCAUACAGGGGGAUAACAGUUAGAAAUGACUGCUAAUACCGCAUAAGACCACGGUACCGCAUGGUACAGUGGUAAAAACUCCGGUGGUAUGAGAUGGACCCGCGUCUGAUUAGGUAGUUGGUGGGGUAACGGCCUACCAAGCCGACGAUCAGUAGCCGACCUGAGAGGGUGACCGGCCACAUUGGGACUGAGACACGACCCAGACUCCUACGGGAGGCAGCAGUGGGGAAUAUUGCACAAUGGAGGAAACUCUGAUGCAGCGACGCCGCGUGAAGGAUGAAGUAUUUCGGUAUGUAAACUUCUAUCAGCAGGGAAGAAAAUGACGGUACCUGACUAAGAAGCCCCGGCUAACUACGUG